RNAcentral lists this ribosomal RNA (437 nucleotides) under Intrasporangiaceae bacterium Ellin7160. Its description in RNAcentral is "bacterial SSU rRNA". It matches the Rfam family "Bacterial small subunit ribosomal RNA", at positions 28 to 475 of the family's 1533-position model. The record is from RNAcentral. Lineage: Bacteria; Bacillati; Actinomycetota; Actinomycetes; Micrococcales; Intrasporangiaceae.
GACGAACGCUGGCGGCGUGCUUAACACAUGCAAGUCGAACGGUGAUGAUGGGAGCUUGUUCUUGUGUGAUCAGUGGCGAACGGGUGAGUAACACGUGAGUAACCUGCCCCAGACUCUGGGAUAACCCCGGGAAACCGGAGCUAAUACCGGAUAUGACACCAAUCCGCAUGGGUAUGGUGUGGAAAGUUUUUCGGUCUGGGAUGGACUCGCGGCCUAUCAGCUUGUUGGUGAGGUAGUGGCUCACCAAGGCGACGACGGGUAGCCGGCCUGAGAGGGCGACCGGCCACACUGGGACUGAGACACGGCCCAGACUCCUACGGGAGGCAGCAGUGGGGAAUAUUGCACAAUGGGCGCAAGCCUGAUGCAGCGACGCCGCGUGAGGGAUGACGGCCUUCGGGUUGUAAACCUCUUUCAGCAGGGAAGAAGCGCAAGGACGG